CCUGCCUACAGAGAUGAUGCAAGUGUGGCUGCUCUGUCACUGGUGAAUCAUUGAUUGCCAGAGAGGAGAGAGGUAAUAUUUAUGUUCAGUGUUCUGACCUUUGAACAAUUAGCUGAUUAGGAAAUCUGUCAAU
Molecule: small nucleolar RNA, 133 nt
Organism: Apodemus sylvaticus (European woodmouse)
Lineage: Eukaryota; Metazoa; Chordata; Mammalia; Rodentia; Muridae
Product: small nucleolar RNA SNORA17
Exons: 1
Source: RefSeq, a predicted model, not a curated record